GCGCCUGUAGCUCAGCGGGAUAGAGCGGCGGAUUCCUAAUCCGCAGGUCGGGGGUUCGAGUCCCUCCAGGCGCACCA
This 77-nucleotide transfer RNA is filed under the name Acidobacteriota bacterium. RNAcentral's name for it is "Acidobacteria bacterium tRNA-Arg". It matches the Rfam family "tRNA". From Rfam's summary of the family: Transfer RNA (tRNA) molecules are approximately 80 nucleotides in length. Their secondary structure includes four short double-helical elements and three loops (D, anti-codon, and T loops). Further hydrogen bonds mediate the characteristic L-shaped molecular structure. tRNAs have two regions of fundamental functional importance: the anti-codon, which is responsible for specific mRNA codon recognition, and the 3' end, to which the tRNAs corresponding amino acid is attached (by aminoacyl-tRNA synthetases). tRNAs cope with the degeneracy of the genetic code in two manners: having more than one tRNA (with a specific anti-codon) for a particular amino acid; and 'wobble' base-pairing, i.e. permitting non-standard base-pairing at the 3rd anti-codon position. Lineage: Bacteria; Pseudomonadati; Acidobacteriota. The record is from RNAcentral.